GACGAACGCUGGCGGCGUGCUUAACACAUGCAAGUCGAACGGAAAGGCCCUGCUUUUGUGGGGUGCUCGAGUGGCGAACGGGUGAGUAACACGUGAGUAACCUGCCCUUGACUUUGGGAUAACUUCAGGAAACUGGGGCUAAUACCGGAUAGGAGCUCCUGCUGCAUGGUGGGGGUUGGAAAGUUUCGGCGGGUGGGGAUGGACUCGCGGCUUAUCAGCUUGUUGGUGGGGUAGUGGCUUACCAAGGCGUUGACGGGUAGCCGGCCUGAGAGGGUGACCGGCCACAUGGGGACUGAGAUACGGCCCAGACUCCUACGGGAGGCAGCAGUGGGGAAUAUUGCACAAGGGGCGGAAGCCUGAUGCAGCAACGCCGCGGGCGGGAUGACGGCCUUCGGUUUGUAAACCGCUUUCGCCUGUGACGAAGCGUGAGUGACGGUAAUGGGUAAAGAAGCACCGGCUAACUACGUG
Molecule: ribosomal RNA, 468 nt
Filed under: uncultured bacterium
Lineage: Bacteria
Description: partial 16S ribosomal RNA
Rfam family: Bacterial small subunit ribosomal RNA
Source: RNAcentral